Molecule: unclassified non-coding RNA, 393 nt
Filed under: fungal sp.
Lineage: Eukaryota; Fungi
Description: partial internal transcribed spacer region
Rfam family: Eukaryotic small subunit ribosomal RNA (bases 1-46)
Source: RNAcentral
AAGUCGUAACAAGGUUUCCGUAGGUGAACCUGCGGAAGGAUCAUUAACACGUUAUCCACGUAUCAACCAAACGCGAACUGUUUUCACCUAACCUCCUUGGAUUCAAGAACUGAGGGCCUGUAGAGUUGUAUGAAUGGGGCCUUUGUGCCGACUCUGCUUGCCUGUGACUUAGCGUAGUUACCUACGUUAUGUUGCCAGUUGUACUUCCUGUUGGAGGAUUCUCUCAUUGAUCUGCCUCCAUUCAUUGGCGUUUCAGUGGGAACUUAUUUACUAUUUUCACCCAUUUUUGCUAGUUGACUUUUAUAUGUUGCAUUUAUGCUUCGGCAUCGGUGCACACGUUUAAUUAUUUGAACGUUAAAAAUACAACUCUUAGCAAUGGAUAUCUUGGUUCUC